RNAcentral lists this long non-coding RNA (388 nucleotides) under Mus spicilegus (steppe mouse). RNAcentral's name for it is "lncRNA (ENSMSIG00000022745.1)". The record is from RNAcentral. Lineage: Eukaryota; Metazoa; Chordata; Mammalia; Rodentia; Muridae.
GCUGCAUUAAGUACAUCUGAAUGAAAUUCUUAUGCAUCAGAGUCCAUAUUGGAAAUCAUGAGCAAAGUGAUAGAGUGAGUAGAAAGAAGAAAGGUUUUAUCCAGGAACUAGAAUAAACUGGAAAAGUAUUGAAGACUGGAACAAAAUAAGAGAAACCACAGCAAAUAUGUCUUGGAAGAAAUGUCAACAACACAGGAAAAUGCAGUCUUUGGCUCCUCGGUGCCCAGGAGUAAUUAAUACUGUUCACUAUGGAGAAGUGACUCUGACAGAGAAGGGAUUUUCACAGGUACAACCAGGAAAAACUUGACAAAAGUGAUUUUUGAGUAUCAGUGGAUCUUGAAAAGGGGGAGUUAUUUAUUUCAUGAAUAAGAAUAUAAGAGCAUUCAGA